RNAcentral lists this ribosomal RNA (253 nucleotides) under uncultured bacterium. Its description in RNAcentral is "partial 16S ribosomal RNA". It matches the Rfam family "Bacterial small subunit ribosomal RNA", at positions 524 to 776 of the family's 1533-position model. The record is from RNAcentral.
UACGUAGGGCGCAAGCGUUGUCCGGAAUUAUUGGGCGUAAAGAGCUCGUAGGCGGCUUGUCACGUCGGGUGUGAAAGCCCGGGGCUUAACCCCGGGUCUGCAUUCGAUACGGGCUAGCUAGAGUGUGGUAGGGGAGAGCGGAAUUCCUGGUGUAGCGGUGAAAUGCGCAGAUAUCAGGAGGAACACCGGUGGCGAAGGCGGAUCUCUGGGCCAUUACUGACGCUGAGGAGCGAAAGCGUGGGGAGCAAACAGG